This 240-nucleotide unclassified non-coding RNA is filed under the name soil metagenome. RNAcentral describes it as "partial contains 5.8S ribosomal RNA, internal transcribed spacer 2, and large subunit ribosomal RNA". The record is from RNAcentral.
AACGCACGAGACCUGCGGACCUGCGGAGGGAUCAUUAAUGAGAAGCUGCCCCUCGUGGGUAGACCUCCCACCCUCUGUGAACUUACCUUUGUUGCUUUGGCAGGCCCGUCCUCUGGACCGCCGGCUUCGGCUGGCCCGUGCCUGCCAGAGGAUUCCAAACCCUGUCUGUCAGUGUUGUCUGAGUCUAUAUGAAAUCGUUAAAACUUUCGGCAACGGAUCUCUAGAUCGGAAGAGCACACG